Molecule: unclassified non-coding RNA, 427 nt
Filed under: Zea mays
Lineage: Eukaryota; Viridiplantae; Streptophyta; Magnoliopsida; Poales; Poaceae
Description: misc RNA Zm00001eb090560
Source: RNAcentral
CAUCAAGCCUGGUUAUGAAUCUUACCAGCCCGUGACAGUUGCCCAGCAAUUUGGCCUCGGACUAGUUCCUCCUCACUUUCACCUUCACCAACUUACAGAAUGCAGAGCUGAUCUCCCCGACUCCAUUACUGUUCAAUGGUGCUACUCACUGUUUGACGACCUGAAGAUCCUCAUCCUAGCCGACUUGUGCUUCACCUUCUCAACUGACGGAUUCAGCUCAUGGUGGGGGAUGGGGAAGUCCCAUGCCUUCCAGAGGGCUUUGGGGCCACCGCUGCAGCAGAUUGAUACCGAAUACGAGGUCCUUGACGGGGAGGUAUUGCUCCUGAUCCUCUCAUGAUCUGUAUCCUUCAUUGUUGACUCCACUUGCUCUUCUUUGCAGCAACGGGAAGAACAAGAGCCUUUAUACGAUGAUGGCAUCCCCUCCGGC